CAAUAGCGUAUGCUAAAGUUGUUGCAGUUAAAAAGCUCGUAGUUGAAUUUUAGAGUCAAGCGUGAUUCGUCUACCACUUGGUACGUACGAAAAACCUUACUCUUCUUUCUGAAAGCUUUUCAUAUACUUAAUUGUAUGUGUCUUGAUUUCAGAUCGUCUACCUUGAACAAAUCCAAGUGUUCAAAGCAGGCUUACGCAACUGAAGGCUUUUUCAUGGAAUAGUAGAACAGGACUUUGCGUCUUUCUGUUGGUUCUGAAGACCAAAGUAAUGAUUAAUAGGGACAGUUUGGGGACAUUAGUAUUUCGUUGCAAGAGGUGAAAUUCUAUGAUUUACGAAAGACUAACUACUGCGAAAGCAUUUGUCAAGGAUGUUUUCAUUAA
Molecule: ribosomal RNA, 381 nt
Filed under: uncultured eukaryote
Lineage: Eukaryota
Description: partial 18S ribosomal RNA
Rfam family: Eukaryotic small subunit ribosomal RNA
Source: RNAcentral